This 805-nucleotide ribosomal RNA is filed under the name Microhypsibius cf. bertolanii. Its description in RNAcentral is "partial large subunit ribosomal RNA". It matches the Rfam family "Eukaryotic large subunit ribosomal RNA", at positions 33 to 657 of the family's 3401-position model. The record is from RNAcentral. Lineage: Eukaryota; Metazoa; Tardigrada; Eutardigrada; Parachela; Microhypsibiidae.
CUUAAGCAUAUUAUUAAGCGGAGGAAAAGAAACCAACGGGGAUUCCCAUAGUAACUGCGAGUGAAAGGGGAAAAGCCCAGCGCCGAAUCCCGUUGCCGGCGACGGUGACGGGAACUGUGGCGUGAAGAAGGUGUCUAUCGGUGUGACUGGCUCGCGUAAGUUCUCCUGAGUGAGGCUCCAUCCCAUGGAGGGUGCAAGGCCCGUGUCGCGAGCAGUCGUCGCUGAUGCGCGCUUUCAGAGAGUCGCCUUGUUUGCGAGUACAAGGUGAAGUCGGUGGUAAACUCCAUCGAAGGCUAAAUAUGACCACGAGUCCGAUAGCGAACAAGUACCGUGAGGGAAAAUUGAAAAGCACUUUGAAGAGAGAGCGAAACAGUGCGUGAAACCGCUCAGAGGCAAGCAGAUGGGGCCUCGAAGGCAAAGCACCGAAUUCAGCCGGUGGUCCGUGCGGUUGGCUGGCGUGUGAGAUUGCAAAACUCUGCGUCGGUCAAGUUAAGCGCGGCUGCCGGUGCACUUUCGGUGCUUGUACGCCACCGCCGUUGCGGAGCGUCCGUCGGGUCUGCAGGUGAAGCCUUACUCUCUUCAUCGGGAGUAGGUGUCUUACAGCGGGCUUUGACGCGUUCGCACCACAACCGGUCAUGUCAGCGUGUGUCAGCGUAUGCGUUGGGCCGGUAGGCUCCGGGUGGGUGGCUGUGGCGAUGACGAGCUUGCUCGGCUCGCUCGCACCUGCUGGAAUCCUGCCGGCUGUCAGCGUGACACAUUGUCGAUUCGGUGGCGAGUAGACGGCUGCCCAUCUAACCCGUCUUGA